UAUUUGCUAACAGAUGAACUAUCCCUGGGUGCAUUCAUUUCCAUAAAUCGGUUUCUUAUCAUUACUUCCUCUCCAGCACAUGCUGCUGCUACCCUUACUUCUUCUUCUGAUAGACCCUGUAGUCUUGCAGCUGUAGCUGCAGCAUUUGCCGCCUCCUCUACUUCCUGUUGAUUCUUAGCAGCUGUUAUUUUACUUCCCAGU
This 201-nucleotide unclassified non-coding RNA is filed under the name Hevea brasiliensis (rubber tree). The record is from RNAcentral. Lineage: Eukaryota; Viridiplantae; Streptophyta; Magnoliopsida; Malpighiales; Euphorbiaceae.